UUUUGCCAUGUUGGCCAGGGUGGUCUCGAACUCCUGACCUCAAGUGAUCCAACCGCAUCGGCCUCCCAAAGUGCUGGGCUUAUAGGUGUGAACCACUGCGCCUGUCCCGUUGUGUAAUUUUAAUAAUUAGUUUUUUAAGUACUUGAUUUUAUGGGCACAUUUUUGUGGGAUGAUUGGAGUUAAUCAAAUAUAGCUUGUCAUGUGUGUAGUUUGGUAAGAUAACUUUUUUAAAUUCAUGUUUUCUCUGCCUUGAGGUAGUGAGGGAAAGAUCUUAAUCAGGAUUUUGGUAAUUACCUGAUUGAAUUCAAGCAAAUAAGACAUCAUGAACUUCAGUGGUUAUUGAUAUUUCAGGGUAUAUACCUGAAAUGCCUAGAGGAUACAGAUUUCUCAUUUCAUUCUUUGGUCUUUCAUUUCUCUAUAUACAGAAAUGACACUUCUGGGAGGCGGUAGUAGCAGGAAGUCAAUGAAUUGAGUAGAGGGUCCCGUUCCCUCAGGCUAUCAUUGAUCAGUGACAAUUUAUAAAAACAAACUGCAAAGUCUGCGGCAAGCGGCCGCCUGCUUCCUAGAAGGAGCCCAUGAAGGUUAAACUCCAUGGUCAGUGUUCGCAAGCACCGGGCGUGGUGGCUCACACCUGUAAUCCUAGCACCUUGGGAGGCCAAGGCGGGUGGAUCACCCGAGGUCAGGAGUUUGAGGAUUUGCAAGCAAAAGGUCCUCUCCUGAGUCUUUCCCAGAUACCCAGCAGUGCAGAGGCUAGCUGUGGAAGGUUGCAGUGGGACAGGAGUGUACUGUAUGCCUUGCCUUACUUGUCACCAUUGAGAUUUCCAGAGAAAUGGGCAUAACGCCUCUUAACAGCAACAGCAAAAAGCAAAAUACAUUAACUUAAGGUUGACAACAAAAGAUUAUCAAGUACCAUGUUUUCCAACCAACCAGUUAUUUGUGGUAAUAACAAAAUAAAGGUGGGAAAAUGUUAUAAUUUUUAAGGAAACUGUGUACUUUAAAAAUCUUCUUUAUGAAUAUCCAAUGUUACUGUAAUCCUGCUCCAUUAAAUGCAGCCUUGUUGUCAGGUGCUGCCCCUUGCUUGGGAACAGCAUUGGGCUUUUAAAUGUCUGCAGAAUCUCUGCAUUCAAAGGGAAUUGAGAAUGAACUUCUUGGUACUGUAAUGAAAAUAAGGUCUGCUCAACAUAAUAAACUUUUCCUCUGUUCUUUAAAA
Long non-coding RNA from Nomascus leucogenys (northern white-cheeked gibbon), 1210 nucleotides. RefSeq lists it as uncharacterized. The transcript is spliced from 2 exons. NCBI's taxonomy places the organism in Eukaryota, Metazoa, Chordata, Mammalia, Primates, Hylobatidae. The record is from RefSeq and is a predicted model, not a curated record.